This 462-nucleotide ribosomal RNA is filed under the name uncultured bacterium. RNAcentral describes it as "partial 16S ribosomal RNA". It matches the Rfam family "Bacterial small subunit ribosomal RNA", at positions 28 to 506 of the family's 1533-position model. The record is from RNAcentral.
GACGAACGCUGGCGGCGUGCUUAACACAUGCAAGUCGAACGGAAAGGCCUUUUCGGAGGUACUCGAGUGGCGAACGGGUGCGUAACACGUGGGUGAUCUGCCCUGCCCUCUGGGAUAAGCCUGGGAAACUGGGUCUAAUACCGGAUAGGACCGCACUUUAGUGUGUGUGGUGGAAAGUUUUUUCGGUGUAGGAUGAGCCCGCGGCCUAUCAGCUUGUUGGUGGGGUAAUGGCCUACCAAGGCGGCGACGGGUAGCCGGACUGAGAGGUUGGUCGGCCACAUUGGGACUGAGAUACGGCCCAGACUCCUACGGGAGGCAGCAGUGGGGAAUAUUGCACAAUGGGCGCAAGCCUGAUGCAGCGACGCCGCGUGGGGGAUGACGGCCUUCGGGUUGUAAACUCCUUUCGCCAGGGACGAAGCGUUUUGGGACGGUACCUGGAGAAGAAGCACCGGCUAACUACGU